UUGAGAGCCACUGGCAGGAGGAAGGGGAAAGCCAGAGGCUGGGUCAGGUAGAAGCCACCAGCGACCUGCCAUUCCCUCCCAAAGCAGGGCCACGCAGGGGGCGUGGAGAGACCAGCAUCAGGGAGGCCUAGAGACCCGCUGCCCGGACAGUGACAGUCUGGGUGCCUGCGGUUGGACAGACACUGGCUGCACAAAGACGCGGGGUUAGAGGAACUCCUCAGGAACCCCGACUCUCCGGACGCCUGGAAAACGCUUCGGAUUGGACACAAUUUCCUGUCCCAAAGGAGAUGUCUCCCAGAAGGAAGUAGAAGACUCAAGCCAGGAGAAGACACAGGACUGAUUCAAGGCUGUGGGCCCAGAAGUAACCUUCCUUGAGGUCUCUUCAGCAACAGAAAAUACCCAGAGACUCUCACACCUUUAUUAGCAGACCUUGUUUUGUUGUUCUUUUCCUCCUUGGAUACCAGAAGCUUCAGAAGAAAUGACCUCAUCUCCUACACCAGGCAGCUCUGGAUGGUAAGAACGGUCUCUCUGACAGACACUUCCAUUGCCAAUUCUCCCAGAUUAACAGCGGUUUCAUAGAACAGCACUCUGACAAGGAGGGAAAGAAAGGGAGGCAGAUUUAUACUUAAUUCGUGAACAGCGUCAAGAGGAGGAUGGGUUCUGCUGAGAAUGUCUUCAUCUUUGGAAGGAUUAUUAAAGUCAGAGCUUAUUCCUCAUGUGAAUCAUCGAGAUUUAAGGCAAGAAUCCUUUUGUAUGAGAACGGUAACCAGUCGCAGGGAAGGCUCCGGAAGACAGCCUCCCAGGCCGGGCUGUGGGCCCUCCUGCACGGGCUGGGGGAUUCAGGGCAAGCAAGCCGAAGGUUCAUUUGAUCAGGAAGGAGGCCUGGUCCUCACUCCCCGGUCCCUGAAAUGUGGACUCACGUAGCGGGAAUGCCAGAAACGUGUCUGGGGGAGCCCAUCAGGUUGACCAGAAGCAUCGCCCUGCUUCGCUCAGCCCGGUGUGAUUUGGACAGACUGCCCCAUCUCCAGUUGGAAAAUUGCUUGUCUCCAGUUUCCUGUCUUUUCAUCUGGUCUUUCAUUUUCAAUUGUUACCUUUGGUUCUGAGUGAGGAGGACACGUGCCUUUUUUGGGGGGUAAAUAUAGACCAGGCUGAACAUAGCACGCUGGGCAUCAUCACAGGUCCUGACUCCUCCCCUUGGUGUCUCCACGCUGGAGAAUUCACGUGGCCCUUUUCCUCAGCCCUUCAGCUCUGUCUAGACAGCAUUCAAGUCAUCAAAUACUGGAAAGAAGGCCGAAAUCAGUGCGAACAUUUACUGUGCUGGGAUUGAUCACUUUGGAGGCGAAGGUUGCGGGGGUGGGGAGGGAUCCCAUUCAGGGACCACAGUCUUUUCUUUGGUGUCUCUUCAACUCCAUUAAAAAUGAUCACAACAAAAUCAUGGGAUGUCAGCCCUGGGGGGCAUCUUGGAUGUCAUCUUAGCCAAGCCCCGCAUGAUGCAAGAACCCUCCAGAAGCAUCGUGGCUGGCUGUGGCUGGCUCAAACAGUCAGACAUUUUCUCUGAUGGAGCGUGGACUCCUUUUAGGAGAGAAUUCACUCUUCCUUAGACUAAAUGAAAACUAUAAUCUGCGUGUUGAAUAGCUUCCACCCACAGACACUGAUGCCAGGCGUAUAUGUUUGUUGACUGACCACCUGACGGGCUGGCUGACUGAAUCUGACUGAGCAGAGUCCGUUGGCACAAGGAGGAGAACAGGGCAGGAGAGAAAGCGGUGGCAGUGGUGACUGGUAGUGGGACGAGUAGGAAGGGAGGAGCAAAGCACAUUUUUCUUGAAGGGUUUUUGUUUUUUUUUUUUCCUCUCUCUCUUUGGUGGAGAAUAGAGGGGAAGGCAUGAUUGUCCCAGCAAAUGUUUUCAUUCCCUCACAUCUUCUAAACAAACCAACAACCCCCCCCACCAACCCAAGCCAUCUAAUUUGUAAGUAAAUCACACUUCACAUUUAUGAAAUGAAUUGAAUUACUUUUGAUGAGUGAAAAGUGACUAGAGCUAAGUAGUGCCUAUUUUCCUAAAUUUCCUAGUACUUUGUCAUGACAUCUUUCCCUCCCUCUCUCUGUCUCUGUCUGUCUGUCUGUUUCACACACACACACACACACACACACACACACCCUCCAGAGCUUACAGAUCUUGUCUUCUGGCCUCCUCAGAGCAAGCUAGCUAGCUAGAGCCGCUCACAGUGACCUUUGCUUUAACUCCGUCACCCUCCCCCUCUGCCUCUCCGUCCUCAAACAGCUGCCCCCCUGCCCAUUAGGAGGGCUCAAGGCCCUCCCUGCCUCUCCCCACCCCUGCGCACCCCUCCACAGCUCCCUGUUCUGGCAGGGCUGUUGGGUUAGAGCUGGAGCCUCCUCACAGACAUCAGACAGGCAGCAAACACGCUUUGCUUUGUUCCUGCUGCCGUGUGGGAGGGCUGGGGAGGAUCCCCAGGGCGCAGGCUGCAAGCGCUCUCCUGAAUCUCAAAAUGAAGACGGCUCACACCGGCUUGCUUGCACAGCUUCGGCUUCGCAUGUUGCUCCUGGAUCUGGGAUCCCAUAAUCCAUGGGAGUUGCUGAUACUGUGGCUGCCACUGGUAUUCUGGAUCCUUCCCAGAUAGGUCAUCUCCCUUAUGGCAGGCCCCUGGUCACCCAGUAUCUGGAACUGUGAUGCCCCAGCCGCCAGAGCCAAGUGAGAUAGAUGGCCAGUAGGGAACUGUACGCCGUUCUCCGGCCUCAAGGACAGCUGAGCCAGAUAAUACUGGCUUUGGUAAUUGAGCUACAAAUAGACCCUUGGCUUUUUGCCUUUCCUUUUGCAGAUAACUGGAGUUAUAACUCAUCAAAAAUCUACAAGACUGUCUCUGUGCACUAGUCCUUAGACACAGAAUUCUCUGGGUUGAAAGGACGCUAGAUGUGAACCAAGGUUUAUGGGGCUCCUAGUAUGCGCCGACCUUCUGCUGGCAGGUUUACUUCCAUUCAUCCAAUACAGAAUGACUUUUUCAAUCCCAUGCACGGAAAUAGGUCGUUCCAUCAGCACUUCGUUAAACCAAAUAUUCCAGGAUGAUUUUCACGUGGCUCUGUUCUGCAGUUAGCGGGUGUCCUGCCUGUCUGUCCCCUCAGACUGGGAGCUCCGUGAGGGCAGGCCACAGAGCUCCCAGCAUGGGCUCUGAUACCCAGGGGCUCAACAAAGGCACGUGCGGCGGAAUUUCGGUCUGCAGCGCUCCCUUCCACUGGACCCAGAAAUAGCCACAUAUCCUCAGCAGAGGGAGUCUGGCCUCCAUGCCCAUGGCCCCCACGUACAGAUGGUGAGACACGGAUAGAAGAGUCAGAAUGUGUUCCAGGUGCCCUGUCAGAACCAUACCGACAGUACAGAGGGGCCUAAACCCAAGUCUUAAAGUUGUCCUCCUCUGUAUGACCUUAGCUUAAUGACAGGAAGCCACAUGCUUCCUUUGGCCUGAGACGCCUAGAGCAGCAUCUCUCCUCCCAUUAAAUGUUAGCAGGUUGGCAGCCACACCUCUCUCAUUUUGCUGGAUAAUUUCCAUUUUAGGUAUUCUGUCCCAUUGUUCCUGUCCAUUCACGUGUAUGUGUCAGACUGUGCUAUUUCCAGUUCGGAAAGCAGAGUUUGGAAUUGCACUCUCGAAGAAUCAUUCGUCUGGUGGUUCAUACAUCCCCUGGGAUCAUUUGGGUUCCUUCUAAAGCCGUGACACUGAGACAAGAAUUCACGUGAAAAUAGUGUAUUGGGGGAGGUGCUGAGAAAACCAGAGGAAAUGCAGAGAGAGCUAAGAAAGCGAAGGCAGAGCUAAUGACCGAGGGGCAGUGACCUAGCCAGCUACCCAGGUGGGUGAUAGGGGCUGACUCCUGUCAGGGAAAAUCUGGGGCUCCCGGUCAAACUGUGUUCAGCUCACCUGGAGAGGGCGGGGCUGGGGUAUUCUUCAGUGGUGCUCAUCAGUCAUUGGUUGCAGGAUGCUCCCUGCACACCCCCACCCCUGGGGGCCACUCUCAACCUGCCAUCAGUUAGCAGUCACAGACGGUGCUUCAGUGGAGAGGGGAAGUCCCCAGGCAGCAAGACGCUGAUGCUGGCAGGUGGCAGCUGGAGUGGUGUGCGUAGGCUUCUAAGAGCCGAGAGAUGUGGUGGGGCGACUGGUCAAGUAUUCUACACCUUCUUCCCUCUAGGAGAUGUGACUGCAAUGUGGGGCUGUUGCUUGUAAUGACUGAGAGCAAAGCCCUUUAGGAACAGGACCCAGGAUAUAAAUCAGUGGCUAGAGAGCUCAAAGAUACAGAUACUGAAAAAUGUGGUAGGUAGGCGCUAAUGCCAGCUCUUCAUGCCUCUUGAUUCUGUGUGGUCUGGUCUGGUUAGUCCUACAGGGACAGGAGGCGAGGUGGGCAGGGCUGUUUCUAACAAAUGGGUGGGUGUGCCUGACCCUAUCAGAGGCCUGGAGUCUGUGUGGCAGAGUUUCAUUGGGACUUUAGCAGGAGAACACAA
Long non-coding RNA from Mustela erminea (ermine), 4499 nucleotides. RefSeq lists it as uncharacterized. The record is from RefSeq and is a predicted model, not a curated record. NCBI's taxonomy places the organism in Eukaryota, Metazoa, Chordata, Mammalia, Carnivora, Mustelidae. The transcript is spliced from 3 exons.